This 127-nucleotide ribosomal RNA is filed under the name Acrolejeunea infuscata. Its description in RNAcentral is "partial 26S ribosomal RNA". It matches the Rfam family "Eukaryotic large subunit ribosomal RNA", at positions 1 to 126 of the family's 3401-position model. Lineage: Eukaryota; Viridiplantae; Streptophyta; Jungermanniopsida; Porellales; Lejeuneaceae. The record is from RNAcentral.
CGGACCUCAGAUCGGACAAGACCACCCGCUGAGUUUAAGCAUAUCACUAAGCGGAGGAAAAGAAACUAACGAGGAUUUCCUUAGUAACGGCGAGCGAACCGGAAGUAGCCCAGCUUGGAAAAUCUAA